GCGAGCGUCUGGGCGGGCGCAGGGCAACGGGGGCGCAGGCGCCUGUCCCGGAGCGGCGACAGUCGGCGCGCGCGGUCUCUACUCGGUUGCGCGGGGGGCUGGGGCCAAGCAGAUUGCGGGAGGGACAUUUAAGCGCCCCUCCCCCACCCCCCGGCCACCGGAGCGGCGGGCGGGGCGGGACUGGGCUGGGCGCCGCCCCCGGCCCCCGUCAGGCUCCGAGUCCCGCGCUGGGCCGGCGCCCGGCCGCUAGGCGCGCGCGGGCUCCGCCAGCUUCGUGCGCUUUCAUGGAGGUCCGGGCGGCCUUGGCCGGAGCCUGGUUCCAGCUGCCGCCCCGUCUGUCUGUGUCGGAUCUGCAGGAGCCCAGGGGUUGGAGACGCACCGGCAGACGGCCUGGGAGACAGCAGCUCUGGAAGAGGGCUCCCUGGGAUGAGCCCUGACGCGGGGACACCAGCCAACGUUGGAUGUGACUGUUACGGUCCUUGGGAAUUUCCCUUGUGACUCUCAUUGUUUUUCUUUCGACACCCACGGUGUGAGUGAUGUUUGCAAAGUGAGAAAUUAGUAAGGACGAGUUUGUAGAACAAAACCCAAAUCUGUGGCCACGGUAUUUUAAAAGAAACGAACUUUCGCAGAACUCCCCCACGGAUGGACAGGAGCCGCUGGGAAUGGGUCAAAGUGUGCUGGAAACAACAUCCCUCCCACCUUUUAUUUUCCCUGGUCAUUGACUCUGAAGACCCCAGUUGUCUCUCCCUCUUCCUGUAUCCUCCAGACGCAGAGACUUGGGUCUGGACACCUGUUGGAGCUCGUCCUUGGCCAGGGCAGAGCCGGACGGCUGCUGGAGGCUCUGACCGCUGCACCUUUACCACAGCCCAGACCCUUGGCGCCAAGUUCGGCUACGGGAUUCGGGGUGGACAUGGUUCGCACCCGUCGUGAAGCCCGCCCCCCUCUCGAUGACCUGGUAGCCAGCGCCGUGCGGAUGUCUUGUUUUCCGACGACUUUCAAAGUCUGCCUGAAGGAGCCCUUCUGUGUCACCCUCGACCUUCGACACAUGCCCUUUCACACUGGAGCUCUGCUUUGCUUUCUGGCACACGGUGUCUGAUCUCACGUUGGACCUGGCCUGCUCCCGUCAGAAAUGAGCCGCUUCUGGUGAGAAACGGUUCUUCAGUGGGAAGAAGUGGUCCCAGGUGGUGAAGUGCGAUUGCGGUAGAAAGAGAAAGCGUUUAGCUGUACGAACCUACAAGCUGUGCUGGCGUGUUCAUGUCUACGCUCUGAGCAGAUCGGGGAUUUCUUUCCUGUUUAUGCAGUAGAACUAUCUGAGCUUAAUAAACACUUAGAGGUAAAUUAACCCAGUCUAGGCUUAUUGAUUUCAAAUCCCCAAAAGGCAGAGGUUGAACAGAGGGGUCUGAGUGAGAACUGGGCCAUUACUGCCACCAGGUGCCGGUACAAGGUGGGAGGCAGGUGUCACAUGCUGCUGGGACCAGGGCCGGCUGUUCCCUCAGAAUUGGGUGGCGUGUAGGUGAAGAUUACUAUUAAAACUCUGAGUCAUCCUGGGGAGGCCAGAGCCACUUUCAGUGACUGCUAUUCUAAGAAUAAUUUUAGAAAAAAAUAUUUGUUUGGGAAUCAGAGUCAAUGGACACCUAAAACAUCUGUUUACAUAUUUAUAUUUAGACACAGCUUCCAAAAAAUUUGUAAGAUACUGAGCAGCUAGAACAUGAAGACACACUAGAUGCUCAAUGCAUAUCAUUUAAGUAAAUUGUAAAAUUUUUAGAGGAAAAAUUACAUUGGUUUUAUUUUAUUGUAACUUGUUUCCAGAGCCGGCAGAAUUUCUUGAAAAUGACUCUAUUAUAAGUCACAAGCUUAGUGAACAUUUUAUAGCUUGCUUUCAAAAUCUUUGGGGGCUUCCACUUCUGGGAAGAUGGUGUAGACAUACUUUCCUGCUGAACACCUAAGUCCCACACAUUAUAUAAAAAUUAAGUCAAAUUAAGUCCGACUUAAACGUAAAAUGUAAAACUAUUAACUCUAGAAAAAUAACUGUAGAAAAUCUUGGGGAUGUUGGAUCGUGUACAUCAUUCUUGAUACCAAAAGCGCAGUGAGGAAAAAAAGAAAUGUACAUGAGACUUUAUCAAAAGCAAAAACUUUUCCUCCACUGGCUAUUUAACCCAGAUAGGGGGAAAAAACCUUUAUGGAAAUGCUUACAGCAGCUUUGCUCAUAACCGCCCGAUCGUAGAAGUAACCCAGGUGUCCUUCACCUCGCGGGCGGUUAAAGAGCUGUGAGCGUCCACACCAUGAGAGCUCGUGGAGUGAACUGCUGAUACAGUAGCAACCCGGUGAAUCGUCAGAGAAUUAUGCCGCGUGAAAAGAGCCAGUCCUCAAAGGUUACAUAACAGUGCGGGUCCUUUUAUACACCAUUCUCGGGAUGACAGGAGUACAGGGACAGAGAACAGACCAGUGGUGGCCGGGUUAGGUUUGGGGCUGGGGCCGGGAGGGCUGGAGGUGGGUUGUGGGGGACCCUGGUGGUGACGGAUGCCCUGUGUCUGGACUGUGUCAGUGUCUGCACCCUGCGGUUUUGCGAGAUGCCACCACUGGACAAAUUGGGUAAAAGGAUGUCUACAAGCUCAAAAUUGAAAGUUGAAUUUAAAAAACCUCUUCAGGGCCAUUAUAUGCAGCUCUGCUGUAUGUAUACAUCAUGCUUUGUGAAUAAGAGUGAUCAGUUAUCAAAUGUCUAUGUGUCUUACAGAUUUGGAGAUUAUAUGUGGUUCUCAUAAAUUAUAACUGAAAAAUAAUCAUCAAUCUUCCUCUCAACAACAUGGCUAAAAAUUAGAUCUAAUGAGCAAGCUUUGAGUUGUGUUCAUAUAUACACUUUAGAAGCCUUUUGUAAUUUGUGUAACUUUGACAUAUAGAAAAUAAAUGCAUUUGAAAACAAAAUAGUUGAACACACUGGAGUUUAACAAUUGGAAAGAAAUUACAGGAAUGACACUAAUAGUACUUAUCUUUAAGGCUGAAAUUUCCUAAGAAUCAUGUUUUAUUUAAAAUUAGUUCUUCGCCUUUGGAUCUUUGUUUUUAAACAAUAGAUGAUUUUUAUUUUAAUUCCUAUGAUGUUUGUCUUGGUAGGACAAUAAGAAUUGAAAAACAAAAAAUGCAGCGGCUCACCAGAUAUUAACCUGUGCUCUCUUUAUUGUCAGGAGGUUAGAUGCAUUUUUAUUUUAAACUAGCUCAGCCGCAGUCAUCUGCUAGUUGGUUGGUUGGAGAAAAGCAUUUCUUAUUUAGAUCACUUUUUCCAUGCUGUCACAUGGCCUGUUUUAUGUGUUCGUUCUCGUGAACCUGUGUCAGCUCAGAGGUUAAGCGUUUCAGCUGUAAAGCAAAGCAGGUACCUGGAAGGAGAGACCAGCCGAGAGGCUGGAAUGGUCUUUGUGGAAGGGCUGGGUCACGGCCCCCUUUUCCCGCAAACCACGGCGUGGCUGACGGGGAGGAGAGGGGAGGGAGGAGGUGGCGUGUGAACCGAACUUGUGAGGAUUCCGAACCAGAACUGAGGCAGGAAAUAGUUUAUCAGAGCCUUUAAUCACUGGAUUAACUAUCUGGCCACAUUUACGGUGUGAAAUAAUGUUUCAGAUCCUAAAGCCACUGGCUUUUAAGCUGAGAUCAAACGCCCACCUUCUGGACUCAUCUGGGGGCCUCCUGUGCCCUCGGGGUGCCUGGUCCUCCCACCCUACCCCCCUGCCCCACCCGUACCCCAGCCCCGCCCCC
Molecule: non-coding RNA, 3741 nt
Organism: Kogia breviceps (pygmy sperm whale)
Lineage: Eukaryota; Metazoa; Chordata; Mammalia; Artiodactyla; Physeteridae
Source: RefSeq, a predicted model, not a curated record